This is a long non-coding RNA of Paramacrobiotus metropolitanus, 523 nucleotides long. RefSeq lists it as uncharacterized. The transcript has 3 exons. Lineage: Eukaryota; Metazoa; Tardigrada; Eutardigrada; Parachela; Macrobiotidae. The record is from RefSeq and is a predicted model, not a curated record.
GUGGAUUUGGCUACGAUAUCAGCAUGUAGUUUGCGCUGCGUGCGUUUUCUUUUAGUCGAUUUUAUUAGUGCGUGUACAAAAUACCUCGAGUGCCUGCGCAGCCCAACUCCAAACGCGCCGUUUUGAACAAAUUCACUGAUGCCGAAUCGGAAAACCUUCUUGCUUUUGUGAAAGUGAAUCGAUCGCUCUGGGAUACAAAGUCGAAAGAGUACAUUGAUACGAAGAGCAAGGUGGACAUAUGGAAUGCAAUCGCUCAGUUGAUCGGAGAAUCGAAAACAGGCGACGACUGUAAAAACCAGUACAACAACCUGCGCAGUACCUUCCAAAAAAAGUGGAAAAUCGUGAAGACAAAACCCAGCGGAAGCGAGGCCGAUAAAGCGAAAAAAUGGCACUUUUGGGACCAGAUGCAGUUUUUGGGCGACGUUUUCACGAUGGCUGAAACAUCGGACAGUGCAGGAACUGAGCCAUUUUCUCAAGAUGUGUCGGAUAUUGAAGGGAAUCAACGGAUCACCGAAGAGGAAGA